GCUGUUUCUAUUAUGAAAGCAGUUUAAAAAAGGUCAUUUAUUUAGGUGAAAUACACAGUUGUUUGUUCUAUGAAGAUGCUUGUCCAAUUUAUUCUCGAUGCCAUUUAUCUUCAGAGUUCCCUGAAGUGACUGUAGUUCCUAUUGAGGAAAAUAUUCUCUGAGUCUCUGAUUUGAUUUUCUUUUUAGACCCACCAUUUUGUGGAUGAAAUUUGGGCUGUUCAGCUAGUUAACCAUCUGUUAUCCUCUCAAAUUAGUUUCUUAAAAUGUCUAGGUACAGUCCCAGAAAUGGGAAUGAUCAUUUAAAAUUCUGCUCCACAAAAUCUUACUUCUUGGCAACCAUUUGAUGUUAUUAUCGAAGGAAGUUGGGAUAGAAGUCCAAGCAAUCUUUUCAGUUUAUUGGAAUAUCAUUUACUGUGCUACACAGAUGUCCACAUACUGCCCAUCUGUCAAGGCUUAUAUUUACAUAACCAGAGAAACUUCAGUGUAGGUUCCUUUCUUACUCUCUAUCAGUCAUUCUGUGUUGGUGCCAUUGGUGUCUGUUUCUUUUUAUCAUCUGGCUGAUCAUCAGAAAUAACAAAAAUUCAAUCUGAAUAUUUUCUGCAGGGGAUACUCAGGCUUCUUUUUUAUUCUCCUUAACAUUUUGGUAGUCUUGCAUUUCUCCCUUGCUGUCUCAAAACAGCGCCUCUUUUCUUUAUUUACCAUUUCGGCCACAGAGCAGACAUUCAACAGAAGAGGGAAGCCAGAUGAUGUAUUUCAGGAGAAGGGCAAAUGUCAGCUACUGAUUCCCUUUCUCAUGCAAUUGGAAUCAUCUGCAUGAUCUUGUCUGAACGCCAUCAUACUUUUGGAUUAGAGAACUCUGUUAUUUUUUUUUUUCUUUCUCCUGACUUGAAAGAUAUACUUACUAUACUUGGAAGUUUUCCAUAGGUUUAACUUAGAAACCAAUUUUAUCAAGUUCUCAAACAUUAAGACCUCCAUAGCUCCUUUCCCCAUCAUUAGUUGCAUGCCAGGACUUGUAACCCAGGACCAGAUUUGGCCAACAGCUUUUUAGUCUUUCAGAAUUAUUUCGAUUACUCACUCCAAAGCAAAGUUUGAGCCCUUCUGGGAUUAUCCUGAAGCAGGGCUCAGAUUAGACAGCCUUCAGCUCUCGGGAUGCCAUUUGAGAAUGAUGAUUUAUACCAAGGAUAAAAUCGAAGGACAUCCAAACUGAACUUGCUGGUAUUUCUGUCACUAAAAUAUACUUCAGAAAAACAUAAUUUGACCAUAUAUGAUCUUUGAGGUACCUUCCAACCCCAGCAAUUCUAUGUUUCUAUGUGCCUGAUCUAGUAAGUGGCAACCCUGCCCACAACAAGAGAGCUGGAAAUAGCUGAUCUUUAAGGUCCCUUCCAACCCAGCCUGUUCUAUGGUUAUGUUAUUCUGUGAUUUAAGUGUUAGGAGCAGGAUGCACACAGGCUGACAGGGCUGGGUGAUGAGGCUGGGCUGAGGCCUGGCCAAUGGGUAGGAUCUACCCUCGGCCUGCAGGUUCAUAGCCAGGCAUGGCACAGCUGUGACUUAGAUCCUGGGGAGGAGCUUGGGGCCAGUGAAGGAGUACUGGCUGAGAAAACCCACUGUCAAUUUCAUGUCUUGUUUCAUUUAAUGAAUUUAUACAAAAUUAAGAACAGGCAUUAGGAUAUUAUUGAUGUAAGGGCCUAGCUGAAAGGUCAACGUGACUUCGAUUUAGCUGAUGCUCUCGAUCACCCAGAUGAUAUAAUUACCAGGAAGCCCACAGUGAUCAGAAGACCAACAAGACCUCUGAUGAGUGAGUAAUACAGACAACAGCCAUGACUAAUAUCCAUUAUGCAUAAACUGUUUUGUGUGAGAUUCUUGCUUGUAGUUGUUAAUGUGCCAUUCUUAAGACAAUUUGUGUGAAUUUGUGUUCUCUGUAUGUAAAGUAAGUAUUUUUUGGACAACUAUCAGUUGCAUGUCUUUACUAUUUUCAGUAAGUCUUUAGAGCAUGGCUGGCCACAGGUGGCAUUUUAUUUCCAGAUGGUCCUCUUAAUACUUUUGUAACCUGUACUGACAUCCCUGGGGUCUACAAAAAUGGGUAAAUGUAGCUAA
This is a non-coding RNA of Meleagris gallopavo (turkey), 2094 nucleotides long. Lineage: Eukaryota; Metazoa; Chordata; Aves; Galliformes; Phasianidae. The record is from RefSeq and is a predicted model, not a curated record.